Long non-coding RNA from Coffea eugenioides, 247 nucleotides. RefSeq lists it as uncharacterized. NCBI's taxonomy places the organism in Eukaryota, Viridiplantae, Streptophyta, Magnoliopsida, Gentianales, Rubiaceae. The transcript has 3 exons. The record is from RefSeq and is a predicted model, not a curated record.
CUUCUGAGCUCUGCAAUGGUGGCUUUGUUGGCUGAGAUUUCAACUUCGGUUGUAAAGUCUCUGUCUUGCCUACUUUUAGUGAAAUUGAAGACGCGUGUGGUGAGGAAAAAUGUAAAUCCUGAGUGGAAUGAAGACCGUACACUGUCAAUUGCAGAUCCAAGCAUCCCAAUCAAGCUAGUGGUACCAACUAAAGAUUGAUGGUGUCUUUGUGGUUAUGACUGAAGGCUCUCAUUUGGUUGGAAAGUUU